Molecule: ribosomal RNA, 490 nt
Filed under: uncultured bacterium
Lineage: Bacteria
Description: partial 16S ribosomal RNA
Rfam family: Bacterial small subunit ribosomal RNA
Source: RNAcentral
GAUGAACGCUAGCUACAGGCUUAACACAUGCAAGUCGAGGGGCAGCAUGGUCUUAGCUUGCUAAGGCCGAUGGCGACCGGCGCACGGGUGAGUAACACGUAUCCAACCUGCCGUCUACUCUUGGACAGCCUUCUGAAAGGAAGAUUAAUACAAGAUGGCAUCAUGAGUCCGCAUGUUCACAUGAUUAAAGGUAUUCCGGUAGACGAUGGGGAUGCGUUCCAUUAGAUAGUAGGCGGGGUAACGGCCCACCUAGUCUUCGAUGGAUAGGGGUUCUGAGAGGAAGGUCCCCCACAUUGGAACUGAGACACGGUCCAAACUCCUACGGGAGGCAGCAGUGAGGAAGAUUGGUCAAUGGGCGAGAGCCUGAACCAGCCAAGUAGCGUGAAGGACGACUGCCCUAUGGGUUGUAAACUUCUUUUAUAAAGGAAUAAAGUCGGGUAUGGAUACCCGUUUGCAUGUACUUUAUGAAUAAGGAUCGGCUAACUCCGUG